AGUGAACGCUGGCGGUAGGCCUAACACAUGCAAGUCGAACGGCAGCACAGUAAGAGCUUGCUCUUACGGGUGGCGAGUGGCGGACGGGUGAGGAAUACAUCGGAAUCUACUUUUUCGUGGGGGAUAACGUAGGGAAACUUACGCUAAUACCGCAUACGACCUACGGGUGAAAGCAGGGGAUCUUCGGACCUUGCGCGAUUGAAUGAGCCGAUGUCGGAUUAGCUGGUUGGCGGGGUAAAGGCCCACCAAGGCGACGAUCCGUAGCUGGUCUGAGAGGAUGAUCAGCCACACUGGAACUGAGACACGGUCCAGACUCCUACGGGAGGCAGCAGUGGGGAAUAUUGGACAAUGGGCGCAAGCCUGAUCCAGCCAUACCGCGUGGGUGAAGAAGGCCUUCGGGUUGUAAAGCCCUUUUGUUGGGAAAGAAAAGCAGCAGGUUAAUACCCCGCUGUUCCGACGGUACCCAAAGAAUAAGCACCGGCUAACUUCGUG
This 492-nucleotide ribosomal RNA is filed under the name uncultured bacterium. RNAcentral's name for it is "partial 16S ribosomal RNA". It matches the Rfam family "Bacterial small subunit ribosomal RNA", at positions 29 to 507 of the family's 1533-position model. The record is from RNAcentral.